Molecule: non-coding RNA, 148 nt
Filed under: Nomascus leucogenys (northern white-cheeked gibbon)
Lineage: Eukaryota; Metazoa; Chordata; Mammalia; Primates; Hylobatidae
Source: Rfam by way of RNAcentral
GCUGGGUGUGGUGGUGCAUGCCUGUAGUCCCGGCUACUUGGGAGGCCGAGGUGGGAGGAUCUCUUGAGCCCAGGAGGUUGAGGCUGCAGUGAGCCGAGAUCAUGCCACUGCACUCCAGCCUGAGCGACACAGCGAGACCCUGUCUCAA